CUUGGUCAUUUAGAGGAAGUAAAAGUCGUAACAAGGUUUCCGUAGGUGAACCUGCGGAAGGAUCAUUAUCAUACAACAGAGGUGCAAGGGCUGUCGCUGACCUUUCAAAGGUCGUGCACGCCCGUCACACAUCCACUUCACCCCUAUGUGCAUCACCGCGUGGGGAUCCCUUGAAAGGGGGAGGCCCACGUUUUUCUUUUUUCCACACAAAACCUCAAAGUAGUAUAGAAUGUAUUUUCUUUAUUUGCGGUGAUACGCAAUCAAUACAACUUUCAACAACGGAUCUCUUGGCUCUCGCAUCGAUGAAGAACGCAGCGAAAUGCGAUACGUAAUGUGAAUUGCAGAAUUCAGUGAAUCAUCGAAUCUUUGAACGCACCUUGCGCCCCUUGGUAUUCCGAGGGGCACACCCGUUUGAGUGUCGUGAAAUCCUCAAAAAGCCCUUUCUUGAUCUUUUAAAGAAAAGGAUUUUUGGACUUGGAGGACCAAUGCUCGCUUUCAAUUAUUUGAAAGGGAGCUCCUCUUAAAUAAAUCAGUGGGGUUUGCUUUGCUGAUCCUUGACGUGAUAAAGCGAUUCUACGUUUUGGAUAUAGCAUCGUGCUUUUAAACACCUGCUUCUAAUUGUCCUUAUGGACGACGAUGGUGUUCUGGUCACCACCACACCUGUGUCGGUGGGAGGCUAGACCCACAAGAGAAAACCUUGACCUCAAAUCGGGUGAGACUACCCGCUGAACUUAAGCAUAUCAAUAAGCGGAGGA
This 755-nucleotide ribosomal RNA is filed under the name uncultured fungus. RNAcentral's name for it is "eukaryotic LSU rRNA". The stretch from base 268 to 421 matches the Rfam family "5.8S ribosomal RNA". The record is from RNAcentral. Lineage: Eukaryota; Fungi.